UACGUAGGGCGCAAGCGUUGUCCGGAAUUAUUGGGCGUAAAGAGCGUGUAGGCGGCCAGGCAGGUCUGGUGUGAAAACUCGAGGCUUAACCUCGAGAUGUCAUCGGAAACCAUUUGGCUAGAGUCCGGAAGAGGAGAGUGGAAUUCCUGGUGUAGCGGUGAAAUGCGUAGAUAUCGGGAGGAACACCUGUGGCGAAAGCGGCUCACUGGACAGCAACUGACGCUGAUGCACGAAAGCUAGGGGAGCAAACAGG
This 253-nucleotide ribosomal RNA is filed under the name uncultured bacterium. RNAcentral's name for it is "partial 16S ribosomal RNA". It matches the Rfam family "Bacterial small subunit ribosomal RNA", at positions 524 to 776 of the family's 1533-position model. The record is from RNAcentral.